AUACGGAGGGUGCAAGCGUUAUCCGGAAUCAUUGGGUUUAAAGGGUCCGUAGGCGGUCUAUUAAGUCAGAGGUGAAAUCCCACAGCUCAACUGUGGAACUGCCUUUGAUACUGGUAGACUCGAGUUACAGUGAAGUAGAUAGAAUGUGUAGUGUAGCGGUGAAAUGCAUAGAGAUUACACAGAAUACCGAUUGCGAAGGCAGUCUACUAACUGUAUACUGACGCUGAUGGACGAAAGCGUGGGGAGCGAACAGGAUUAGAAACCCCGGUAGUCC
Molecule: ribosomal RNA, 274 nt
Filed under: uncultured bacterium
Lineage: Bacteria
Description: partial 16S ribosomal RNA
Rfam family: Bacterial small subunit ribosomal RNA
Source: RNAcentral